Molecule: ribosomal RNA, 506 nt
Filed under: uncultured bacterium
Lineage: Bacteria
Description: partial 16S ribosomal RNA
Rfam family: Bacterial small subunit ribosomal RNA
Source: RNAcentral
AGUGAACGCUGGCGGUAGGCCUAACACAUGCAAGUCGACCGGCAGCACAGGGGAGCUUGCUCCUUGGGUGGGGAGUGGCGGACGGGUGAGGAAUACAUCGGAAUCUACUCUGUCGUGGGGGAUAACGUAGGGAAAAUUACGUUAAUACCGCAUACGACCUACGGGUGAAAGCAGGGGAACUUGGGGCCUUGCGCGACUGACUGAGCCGGUGUCGGAUUAGCUAGUUGGCGGGGUAAAGGCCCACCAAGGCGACGAUCCGUAGCUGGUCUGAGAGGAUGAUCAGCCACACUGGAACUGAGACACGGUCGAGACUCCUACGGGAGGCAGCAGUGGGGAAUAUUGGACAAUGGGCGCAAGCCUGAUCCAGCCAUACCGCGUGGGUGAAGAAGGCCUUCGGGUUGUAAAGCCCUUUUGUUGGGAAAGAAAUCCAGCUGGCUAAUACCCGGUUGGGAUGACGGUACCCAAAGAAUAAGCACCGGCUAACUUCGUGCCAGCCGCCGCAGUAA